AUUCUUGCGCUUGGGGUAGCGUCUCCGGAAAUGAGGGUUAACCGAUCCGAGACUAUUGCUAUUUGAAAACUAUAUCCAAUCCCCCUUCACCGGCGAAAGCCGUGCUGAAGAAUUUCUGGAGCCUUCGGGC
Molecule: small nuclear RNA, 130 nt
Filed under: Coccomyxa subellipsoidea C-169
Lineage: Eukaryota; Viridiplantae; Chlorophyta; Trebouxiophyceae; Coccomyxaceae
Description: U4 spliceosomal RNA
Rfam family: U4 spliceosomal RNA
About the family: U4 small nuclear RNA (U4 snRNA) is a component of the major U2-dependent spliceosome. The structure of U4 snRNA from yeast and human has been reported. U4 snRNA presents a k-turn RNA motif in the 5p-SL related to recognition of Snu13 protein.
Source: Rfam by way of RNAcentral